GCGGGCCUAGGAAAUUCUAUGGGCCGGUGAAAAAUCCUCUAACAACUAUGUUUUCUGUUUUCUGCAAAUCUUAGCUUGUUUUCGGACGUGGCUUUUUAGUUGGAUUGGAGAGGAAAGUCUUAAAGAUAAUGGAAAUGGAGGGCAACAAGCAGGAGAGUUCACCUUCCUCAAUCACUGCUGAUCUUUUUGGUGCCAAAGAGUCACCACCAUCCUCGUCAUCAGGAAUUUUUGCCUCCAUUUUUCCACCUCCAUUAACGCUGGUUGGGAGGAACUCCUUGGGCACUGAGAUAAUGGGAUCUUCGCAAAAACAACCUUCAGGAAAUCAAGCAUGGAACAUGAAACAAGGAACUCCAGCUAUCAGUAGUGGUGCUGCACGCUGUAGCAUACCCAACAAGGACAGGAGUUCAAUUUUCCAAGAAAGAGUGGAACCAUGUCAUCUAAGUUCAUCUCUUUAUUAUGGUGGACAAGACAUCUGUUCCCAGUUCCUAAGUACCCAAUCCUCUGAAUCAUACCCUCAAUUGAACCAAAAUCCGGGAGAAGAUGAUCCAAAUGGAAACAACUCACACAGUGUGUCUCGAGGAAACUGGUGGCAAGGUAUUGAUGUUGUUAAUGAAAAUUCGGCUGCGAAUCAGCAGAGAUUAUAUAUGGUUGCAGACUAAACUAAGGAAUUCAUGGAGAUUUGGUCGCCAAGUAUGGCAGACAAUCUGCAAUAUAAAGAAUACCCGAAAUAGCUUUAAAUCAAAAAAGAGCAGCUAAUGCGGUUGAACAAUGUUUAUCGAGUAAUUUUACGUAUAACCGUGAAAUGUGUAAACCGUAAUUGCUUUGAAAAAGAAUAUUUCAUGGCAUAGUAAAGAAUAAUAUAACUUCUUACCAACUGUCCAAUGGCGGACUCUGUAAUGCUGGCCACCCUUGUUAGCCCCAUCACUUGCUUACCAGAAAUCAUUGCUUCCAACGGAGAAUGAACCAACCCCUGAGCUCCAAGAGUUCAGAUCUACAAAACCAUCGAUAGCUAGCAUAAAUGAAAAGGCCAAAAGGGACAAGAAUCACCAGUGGCCCGCUUGCUGCGAAAAAGUACACAAACUCUCACAAGCCAAUACCCCCAGCAUGAUCUGAACCAAAUCCACCAGCUUCAUCGACAUGAACACGCACCCGAAUGGUGGGGACCCGAUCAUCGAGACGUGUAUCCCAACAACACGCAAAGUGGCCGCGUUCUGGCGGCUCCUUGGUGACAGAAGCAUCUCACCUCGCCUCCAAUCCAAGGUUCACCGCCAGCUUUCGGGACUUUGAUGGCUUGUUAGAGACUUGAGAGGCCAAGACGAUGAGACUGGAGAAGAAGAAGUCGCCGAAGGAGAGGGAGUAGUCGUGGAUGGAAGUCGGCAAGGUCGCAUGGCAAAAACGUUCGAGAAAAAUUGAAAAAUAAACGCCGUUGCCGGGGAUCGAACCCGGGUCACCCGCGUGACAGGCGGGAAUACUUACCACUA
RNA transcript from Juglans regia (Persian walnut), 1481 nucleotides. RefSeq lists it as uncharacterized. Lineage: Eukaryota; Viridiplantae; Streptophyta; Magnoliopsida; Fagales; Juglandaceae. The transcript is spliced from 6 exons. The record is from RefSeq and is a predicted model, not a curated record.